RNAcentral lists this ribosomal RNA (430 nucleotides) under uncultured Symbiodinium. Its description in RNAcentral is "partial Eukaryotic large subunit ribosomal RNA". It matches the Rfam family "Eukaryotic large subunit ribosomal RNA", at positions 391 to 826 of the family's 3401-position model. The record is from RNAcentral. Lineage: Eukaryota; Dinophyceae; Suessiales; Symbiodiniaceae.
AAAAGUGCUUGAAAUCGCUGAACUGGAAGCGAAUGGAACUAGUGCUCUGGUUGAGAUUGCUGUAAAUGGCUGUGACAUCUGGGCUCUGGAACGCAAGUCCUUUGUCUGGCUUGAAGUAGUCGCUUGCAAUGUGUCUCAGCUUGAACAUCAACUUCUAUGCAUACGUGAGGAUGGCCCUUGGCUCAUGCUGUGUUGCUGUGGCGAUACUCUUGUGCUUCUGGGGAUUCAGGUGUGUGUGGAUUGUUGAUCAAUUAGUUCCAUUCGACCCGUCUUGUAACACGGACCAAGGAGUCUAGCACUUGUGCAAGUUCUCAGGUGUCAAACCUCUGUGCGCAAUGAAGGUGACUGCUGGGAUUUUUUGCACCAGCAACCGACCAAUCAAUUGGGAGAAGUUUGAGUAAGAGCAUGUGUGUUAGGACCCGAAAGAUGG